RNAcentral lists this ribosomal RNA (497 nucleotides) under uncultured bacterium. RNAcentral's name for it is "partial 16S ribosomal RNA". It matches the Rfam family "Bacterial small subunit ribosomal RNA", at positions 28 to 507 of the family's 1533-position model. The record is from RNAcentral.
GAUGAACGCUGGCGGCGUGCCUAAUACAUGCAAGUCGAGCGAACAGACGAGGAGCUUGCUCCACUUACGUUAGCGGCGGACGGGUGAGUAACACGUGGAUAACCUACCUAUAAGACUGGGAUAACUUCGGGAAACCGGAGCUAAUACCGGAUAAUAUCUUUAAACGCAUGGUUCAAUAGUGAAAGACGCUUUUGCUGCACCCUAUAAUUAGAUCCGCUCCGCUUUAGCUAGUUGGUAAGGUAACGGCUUACCAAGCCAACGAUCCUUAGCCGACCUGGAAGGGGGACGGGCAACACGGGAAUUGAGAACCGGUCCAGACUCCUACGGAAGGAGCAGGUGGGGAAUCUUGCGCAAGGGGCGAAAGCCUGCCGGGGAAACGCCGCGUGAGUGAUGAGGGUCUUCGGAUCGUAAAACUCUGUUAUUAGGGAAGAACAAAUGUGUAAGUAACUAUGCACGUCUUGACGGUACCUAAUCAGAAAGCCACGGCUAACUACGUG